AUUGAACGCUGGCGGCAGGCCUAACACAUGCAAGUCGAACGGUAACAGAAGAGCUUGCUCUUUGGGUGGCGAGUGGCGGACGGGUGAGUAAUGUCUGGGAAACUGCCCGAUGGAGGGGGAUAACUACUGGAAACGGUAGCUAAUACCGCAUAACGUCGCGAGACCAAAGUGGGGGACCUUCGGGCCUCACACCAUCGGAUGUGCCCAGAUGGGAUUAGCUAGUAGGUGGGGGAAUGGCUCACCUAGGCGACGAUCCCUAGCUGGUCUGAGAGGAUGACCAGCCACACUGGAACUGAGACACGGUCCAGACUCCUACGGGAGGCAGCAGUGGGGAAUAUUGCACAAUGGGCGCAAGCCUGAUGCAGCCAUGCCGCGUGUAUGAAGAAGGCCUUCGGGUUGUAAAGUACUUUCAGCGGGGAGGAAGGCGGUGAGGUUAAUAACCUUGCCGAUUGACGUUACCCGCAGAAGAAGCACCGGCUAACUCCGUGCCAGCCGCCGCGGUAA
This 504-nucleotide ribosomal RNA is filed under the name uncultured bacterium. RNAcentral describes it as "partial 16S ribosomal RNA". It matches the Rfam family "Bacterial small subunit ribosomal RNA", at positions 30 to 523 of the family's 1533-position model. The record is from RNAcentral.